UACGUAGGGCGCAAGCGUUAUCCGGAAUUAUUGGGCGUAAAGAGCUCGUAGGCGGUUUGUCGCGUCUGCCGUGAAAGUCCGGGGCUCAACUCCGGAUCUGCGGUGGGUACGGGCAGACUAGAGUGAUGUAGGGGAGACUGGAAUUCCUGGUGUAGCGGUGAAAUGCGCAGAUAUCAGGAGGAACACCGGAGUGGCAAGGCGGCACCUGGGCCUGAUUGAACGUGACGUGAGGACGAAAGCUGGG
RNAcentral lists this ribosomal RNA (244 nucleotides) under uncultured bacterium. RNAcentral describes it as "partial 16S ribosomal RNA". It matches the Rfam family "Bacterial small subunit ribosomal RNA", at positions 524 to 764 of the family's 1533-position model. The record is from RNAcentral.